CCUACGGGUGGCAGCAGUGGGGAAUAUUGCACAAUGGGGGAAACCCUGAUGCAGCGACGCCGCGUGAGUGAAGAAGUAUCUCGGUACGUAAAGCUCUAUCAGCAGGGAAGAAAAAGACGGUACCUGACUAAGCAGCCCCGGCUAACUACGUGCCAGCAGCCGCGGUAAUACGUAGGGGGCAAGCGUUAUCCGGAUUUACUGGGUGAAAAGCGAGCGGAGGCGGGAGCACAAGUCUGGAGUGAAAUCCCGGGGCUUAACCCAGGAGCUGCAUUGGAAACUGUGCGGCUGGAGUGCAGGAGGGGUAAGUGGAAUUCCUAGUGUAGCGGUGAAAUGCGUAGAUAUUAGGAGGAACACCGGUGGCGAAGGCGGCUUACUGGACUGUAACUGACGUUGAGGCUCGAAAGCGUGGGGAGCAAACAGGAUUAGAUACCCCGGUAGUC
This 440-nucleotide ribosomal RNA is filed under the name uncultured bacterium. RNAcentral's name for it is "partial 16S ribosomal RNA". It matches the Rfam family "Bacterial small subunit ribosomal RNA", at positions 338 to 795 of the family's 1533-position model. The record is from RNAcentral.